AUUGAACGCUGGCGGCAUGCCUUACACAUGCAAGUCGAACGGUAACGGGUCCUUCGGGAUGCCGACGAGUGGCGAACGGGUGAGUAAUAUAUCGGAACGUGCCCAGUAGUGGGGGAUAACUGCUCGAAAGAGCAGCUAAUACCGCAUACGACCUGAGGGUGAAAGGGGGGGAUCGCAAGACCUCUCGCUAUUGGAGCGGCCGAUAUCAGAUUAGCUAGUUGGUGGGGUAAAGGCCUACCAAGGCAACGAUCUGUAGUUGGUCCGAGAGGACGACCAGCCACACUGGGACUGAGACACGGCCCAGACUCCUACGGGAGGCAGCAGUGGGGAAUUUUGGACAAUGGGCGCAAGCCUGAUCCAGCAAUGCCGCGUGCAGGAAGAAGGCCUUCGGGUUGUAAACUGCUUUUGUCAGGGAAGAAAUCUUCUGGGCUAAUACCCCGGGAGGGUGACGGUACCUGAAGAAUAAGCACCGGCUAACUACGUGCCAGCAGCCGCCGUAA
Molecule: ribosomal RNA, 500 nt
Filed under: uncultured bacterium
Lineage: Bacteria
Description: partial 16S ribosomal RNA
Rfam family: Bacterial small subunit ribosomal RNA
Source: RNAcentral